UACUGAGUUACCGCUCUACAACCCUUUGUGAACAUACCUAACCGUUGCUUCGGCGGGCAGGGGAAGCCUCUCGCGGGCCUCCCCUCCCGGCGCCGGCCCCACCACGGGGACGGGGCGCCCGCCGGAGGAAACCAAACUCUAUUUACACGACGUCUCUUCUGAGUGGCACAAGCAAAUAAUUAAAACUUUUAACAACGGAUCUCUUGGUUCUGGCAUCGAUGAAGAACGCAGCGAAAUGCGAUAAGUAAUGUGAAUUGCAGAAUUCAGUGAAUCAUCGAAUCUUUGAACGCACAUUGCGCUCGCCAGCAUUCUGGCGAGCAUGCCUGUUCGAGCGUCAUUUCAACCCUCAAGCACCGCUUGGUUUUGGGGCCCCACGGCAGACGUGGGCCCUUAAAGGUAGUGGCGGACCCUCCCGGAGCCUCCUUUGCGUAGUAACUAACGUCUCGCACUGGGAUCCGGAGGGACUCUUGCCGUAAAACCCCCAAAUUCUUUACAGGUUGACCUCGGAUCAGGUAGGAAUACCCGCUGAACUUAAGCAUAUCAAUAAGGCGGAG
Molecule: ribosomal RNA, 554 nt
Filed under: Colletotrichum acutatum
Lineage: Eukaryota; Fungi; Ascomycota; Sordariomycetes; Glomerellales; Glomerellaceae
Description: eukaryotic LSU rRNA
Rfam family: 5.8S ribosomal RNA (bases 184-337)
Source: RNAcentral